UGAGGCCUCCUGGAAGCUGAAAUGG
This 25-nucleotide non-coding RNA is filed under the name Rattus norvegicus (Norway rat). Lineage: Eukaryota; Metazoa; Chordata; Mammalia; Rodentia; Muridae. The record is from RNAcentral.